CCUACGGGUGGCAGCAGUGAGGAAUAUUGGUCAAUGGGCGCGAGCCUGAACCAGCCAAGUAGCGUGAAGGAUGACUGCCCUACGGGUUGUAAACUUCUUUUAUAAAGGAAUAAAGUGAGGCACGUGUGCCUUUUUGUAUGUACUUUAUGAAUAAGGAUCGUCUAACUCCGUGCCAGCAGCCGCGGUAAUACGGAGGAUCCGAGCGUUAUCCGGAUUUAUUUGGUUUAAAGGGGGCGUAGAUUGGUUGUUAAGUUAGUUGUGAAAGGUUGCGGCUCAACCGUAAAAUUGCAAUUGAUACUGGCAGUCUUGAGUACAGUUGAGGUAGGCGGAAUUCGUGGGGUAGCGGUGAAAUGCUUAGAUAUCACGAAGAACUCCGAUUGCGAAGGCAGCUUACUAAACUGCCACUGACAUUGAUGCACGAAAGUGUGGGUAUCAAACAGGAUUAGAUACCCUGGUAGUC
This 460-nucleotide ribosomal RNA is filed under the name uncultured bacterium. RNAcentral's name for it is "partial 16S ribosomal RNA". It matches the Rfam family "Bacterial small subunit ribosomal RNA", at positions 338 to 795 of the family's 1533-position model. The record is from RNAcentral.